Molecule: unclassified non-coding RNA, 154 nt
Filed under: uncultured Ascomycota
Lineage: Eukaryota; Fungi; Ascomycota
Description: sequence contains ITS2
Source: RNAcentral
GUACCUUCAAGCUUUGCUUGGUGUUGGGUGUUUGUCCUCUCCCUGGUGUUUGGACUCGCCUUAAAACAAUUGGCAGCCAGUGUUUUGGUAUUGAAGCGCAGCACAAUUUGCGAUUCUGGCCUUAAAAUACUAGCGUCCAUAAGUACAUUCUCAC